This is a long non-coding RNA of Mus caroli (Ryukyu mouse), 757 nucleotides long. RefSeq lists it as uncharacterized. The record is from RefSeq and is a predicted model, not a curated record. NCBI's taxonomy places the organism in Eukaryota, Metazoa, Chordata, Mammalia, Rodentia, Muridae.
UCUUCUACUGCACUCAUCUUGACUUCUGAGGGGCUGAGUAGAACCAGCUCGAUGUCUGAGAAUGAUAAACCAUCUGUGUUGUCACCUGAAGAAACCACCACUUACUCGCCUUUAGACCUGAAGCAGAAACUGUCAGGAGGAACCAAGUAAUGGAUUUCCAUUCUAAAUAGUGAACUGGAGGAGAGCCAUUUGCUAAAAUAAUAGAAUACUGGAAUCCUUUGCUCAAAGAUGCCAUCCAUGGCUUUGUAUCAAGAAAAGAAUCAACUGGACCAAGGAUCCAUUUUAUACGGGCUUCCCUGUCAAAUAGUUUAUGAACCUCCAGUGCCCACUCCAAGCUACUGUUUCGCCUGGUAACUCGCCGUGGAGCCCAGCCUGGCCUCAAACUCAUCACAGUCCUCUUGCUUCAGCCUGAGACCUGGGACACAGAUGUGUUUGUCCCAGCAUGCCUGGCUUCUGCAGCUGUUAUUCUAUUUGUUUUUCUUCACAACAAAUGUCACUUACAAAUCACCAUAAUCAUAAAAGUAAUAAAGGCUAAUUUUUAAAACAAAGGAAAAUGUAAGAUUUAGGAGGCUCCCUUACAUAUUUUGCAUUUCUUUCUUAACUUUGCCUUCGCAUAUAAAUAACAUAGAUCACGUGUCACAAGUCGAUAAUCGUAUUUUAUAGCCUGUUUGUUUUUAUGUGACCCCAUUAUAAACAUUCUUUCAUGCCAUUAAGAAAAUCCAAGUAUCUUCUGGCAGUAACAAGAUUCCAUCAUGAA